GCAAUGCCGCGUGCAGGAUGAAGGCCUUCGGGUUGUAAACUGCUUUUGUACGGAACGAAACGGUGAGCUCUAAUACAGUUUGCUAAUGACGGUACCGUAAGAAUAAGCACCGGCUAACUACGUGCCAGCAGCCGCGGUAAUACGUAGGGUGCGAGCGUUAAUCGGAAUUACUGGGCGUAAAGCGUGCGCAGGCGGUUAUAUAAGACAGAUGUGAAAUCCCCGGGCUCAACCUGGGACCUGCAUUUGUGACUGUAUAGCUAGAGUACGGUAGAGGGGGAUGGAAUUCCGCGUGUAGCAGUGAAAUGCGUAGAUAUGCGGAGGAACACCGAUGGCGAAGGCAAUCCCCUGGACCUGUACUGACGCUCAUGCACGAAAGCGUGGGGAGCAAACAGGAUUAGAUACCCUGGUAGUCCACGCCCUAAACGAUGUCAACUGGUUGUUGGGUCUUCACUGACUCAGUAACGAAGCU
Molecule: ribosomal RNA, 469 nt
Filed under: Rhodoferax sp.
Lineage: Bacteria; Pseudomonadati; Pseudomonadota; Betaproteobacteria; Burkholderiales; Comamonadaceae
Description: bacterial SSU rRNA
Rfam family: Bacterial small subunit ribosomal RNA
Source: RNAcentral